This 497-nucleotide ribosomal RNA is filed under the name uncultured bacterium. Its description in RNAcentral is "partial 16S ribosomal RNA". It matches the Rfam family "Bacterial small subunit ribosomal RNA", at positions 28 to 507 of the family's 1533-position model. The record is from RNAcentral.
GAUGAACGCUGGCGGCGUGCCUAAUACAUGCAAGUCGAGCGAACAGACGAGGAGCUUUCUCCUCUGACGUUAGCGGCGGACGGGUGAGUAACACGUGGAUAACCUACCUAUAAGACUGGGAUAACUUCGGGAAACCGGAGCUAAUACCGGAUAAUAUAUUGAACCGCAUGGUUCAAUAGUGAAAGACGGUUUUGCUGUCACUUAUAGAUGGAUCCGCGCCGCAUUAGCUAGUUGGUAAGGUAACGGCUUACCAAGGCAACGAUGCGUAGCCGACCUGAGAGGGUGAUCGGCCACACUGGAACUGAGACACGGUCCAGACUCCUACGGGAGGCAGCAGUAGGGAAUCUUCCGCAAUGGGCGAAAGCCUGACGGAGCAACGCCGCGUGAGUGAUGAAGGUCUUCGGAUCGUAAAACUCUGUUAUUAGGGAAGAACAAAUGUGUAAGUAACUAUGCACGUCUUGACGGUACCUAAUCAGAAAGCCACGGCUAACUACGUG